GACGAACGCUGGCGGCGUGCUUAACACAUGCAAGUCGAGCGGUAAGGCCCUUUUGGGGGUACACGAGCGGCGAACGGGUGAGUAACACGUGGGUGACCUGCCCUCAGCUCUGGGAUAAGCCUGGGAAACUGGGUCUAAUACUGGAUAUGACCUUUCCUCGCAUGGGGUUGGGUGGAAAGUUUUUUCGGCUGGGGAUGGGCCCGCGGCCUAUCAGCUUGUUGGUGGGGUGAUGGCCUACCAAGGCGACGACGGGUAGCCGGCCUGAGAGGGCGACCGGCCACACUGGGACUGAGACACGGCCCAGACUCCUACGGGAGGCAGCAGUGGGGAAUAUUGCGCAAUGGCGGAAGCCUGACGCAGCGACGCCGCGUGGGG
This 375-nucleotide ribosomal RNA is filed under the name uncultured bacterium. Its description in RNAcentral is "bacterial SSU rRNA". It matches the Rfam family "Bacterial small subunit ribosomal RNA", at positions 28 to 406 of the family's 1533-position model. The record is from RNAcentral.